This 253-nucleotide ribosomal RNA is filed under the name uncultured bacterium. Its description in RNAcentral is "partial 16S ribosomal RNA". It matches the Rfam family "Bacterial small subunit ribosomal RNA", at positions 524 to 776 of the family's 1533-position model. The record is from RNAcentral.
UACGAGGGGUCCUAGCGUUGUUCGGAAUCAUUGGGCGUAAAGGGUGUGUAGGUGGCUAUGUAAGUCAGGUGUGAAAGCCCCGGGCUCAACCCGGGAAGUGCAUCUGAUACUGCGUAGCUUGAGUACCGAAGAGGAUAGUGGAAUUCCAGGUGUAGUGGUGAAAUACGUAGAUAUCUGGAGGAACACCGGUGACGAAGGCGGCUAUCUGGUCGAGUACUGACACUGAGACACGAAAGCAUGGGGAUCAAACAGG